This is a long non-coding RNA of Oryza brachyantha (malo sina), 3390 nucleotides long. RefSeq lists it as uncharacterized. NCBI's taxonomy places the organism in Eukaryota, Viridiplantae, Streptophyta, Magnoliopsida, Poales, Poaceae. The record is from RefSeq and is a predicted model, not a curated record. The transcript is spliced from 4 exons.
CAAUGUGCUGAUAGAUAACUACCUAAGGUCUACACAAAUCCAUGAACAACUAGAACUUAGGUCAAAGCUCAAAGGAAAGAUCCAAUCAUAUCCUCUAAAUAAGAAUAUCUACUUCAAUUGAUAGGGUAAUAAACAAAACGCUUUGGUACCUAUGGAUAGAAAAGAAAUUUGAUUCUAUUACUAAUAAGAGAAGCCAAUUUGAGUUUUACCUGUAACUCUGUAAGCUACACUUUGACUAAUGUUUCUAAGUCUGAAGAAUUAUAAUGUCAUUUAUACCACAAGAAAUUAUUUUGCUAUACUAGAAAUUAUUCAGGUGAGAAUGGGUUGUUUUAAAUAACAUUAUAGUUGUCAUCUAGUUGUAUAUGAGUUGUACAUGGCUUAGUAGCCUAUAAAUAGAGCCACUGCCCUCUAUUUUCAUAACUCACUUUUGUUUGCUACCCUAUCAAUAAAAUUAUAUGUUCUUAUUUAGAUUUUUCCUUUGAGCUUUGGACUUGGCUUUUGUUGUCCAUGGGUUUGGGCUGUCUGUAGGGUGUUAUCUACCGGCAUGUUAAAGUAGUUCCUUCAACACAUUGUGCUAUGUACGUAUCAGCAUCUUGUAGUUGAUCCUCCAAUAUAAAAGAAAUCUUUGCCAAUAUUAGUAUUUACUAAACAACCUAUAAAUGUUUAUAGUUGUAACAGAGGGAGUAGGUGAAAGAUAUACAUAGUACUUUCAUUGCUACUCUGGUUCUCAUAAUGGUUAUCUAAUGGUAAAUGUUUACGACUCAAAUAACUUCUUCAAAUCAAGAAAGAGUGGGACAUCUUUUAUUUCGUAGUAAGCAACUCUAUUGACAAGUUGAAGAUAGCGUAAAAUUGUAAAAACUACGUAUUGUAGUUAAUUAGCUAUUUUAUGAUUUCAUUCUUCUAUGUAUUCUGUAGUGGACCCAGGUAUCCCUUAUGAUGUAGUUGUAAAAACAGGGUAUUUUAAGAACAGAAAUUACCACGCUGUGGUCGAUAGCUGGCACUUGGUAAGCAGAUAUUUAACUCUAUGUGCUGCACAGAAAAAUAGUCAAUUGAAUUUGAUUUGAUGAAGAAACAUACAAAAUUUUCUUUGAUAUUGGCCUUUAUUCGGUAUUUUGAACCCAUGCAACUGAAAAGUUUCAGUGGUAAUAAUAAGUGAUCGUUUCUUAUCGUGCUCUUUUGUACUACCAGGUAAUCUUCGAAGGUGUCUACACUUUGCAUCCUUCUAUAAGGAAAUCACUGGAUUUAUGGAUUGCAGUUCUAAGAUUUUAUUACUCAAAUCUUGAAAAAACUAUUAGUCCGGUUGGAUUUUUUUUUCCUAAAUCAUAACUAUCUCCCUUGAAAUGUAUUGUAUCUUGUCAUAUUAGGAUGGUGGAGUACAUUCACAUCUUACUGCAAGAAUACAGGGAGACAAGAAUCGUGCCGGCUUUUCUAUUUCUCAGAGUGAAAUUAUGACUACUGUAUUUCCUCUAUUUCAGCAAUACACAGAACCACAUCUUAUUGAUGCUCAUGUUGCUUAAGAUUCAAAAUGACUUUGACCCUGUGCUCUCUCCUGAAAGCUCCCUCCCUGUUCGUACUAAAAAGUUUCUUACCAAGACAUACUGAAAGUAGUCGAUGCUACUAAAGUCUGCAGCUCUGUCCAGAAUUUCACAGAUGUAUAUCUUAGACUUCCUGGCAUACCGUUGAGUGGACAGCUGACAGAAGGCAAGUGUAUUAGGGUCAGAAUAUGUGAAGGAAGAUUUGCACUUCUAAUACGAGUGGUUUGUUUACCUUUUGCAUCCCAUUUAUCUUUGUGUUUUCAUGAUACAGUCAAUGAUAAACUACUUUUUUCCAUUGUUCAUUUAAUGGUAGCCUAUAAGGGAAGGAAAUUUUAUUAUCCAGCCAAAGGUUGAUUUUGAUAUUAGUGCCAGCACUGUUGCAGGACUACUUAAGCUUGGGUAAGUGAUAUGCUUUAUGACACUACUUAUUAAUUUAGCUGACAUUAUACAUGGGUUGUAAUGAGGUUGUAUGUUUUAUCUAUGCUAGUCCCUCCCAUUUUUUUUGUUUGACAUUGGCUAGUUCAAAAUGAACUAGCAUCCUGUUGAUAGGUCCUUCCAACAUACUGACUUCACUCAGUCUGGAUUUAGGAAUGGAUUAUGCCUGAUGGUUUAUCAUGAUUGAUUCUUGCUAAAAUCAUACUAAAUCAUGCGGAAGCACAUCGCCUGAUAAAUACUAGUUAGCAUGGACUCCCAUCCACCAAAAGUUUCUCCUGGCACCAUCAAUCUGAAUUUGAGAGUGGAACUCAUUAAUUGACUUCUGAAGCAUUGGAUUAGCAAACUAUCAUCAAUAUUAUUUUCAACUCAUGGUUCUCUGUUCAUAAGAACAACCUAAUGGAGAUUCAUGUAUCCCAACUAUAAUUCUAAUGAAUAAGCACCAAGAAGGCAAGAACACCACAUACCAGAGCAGAAAGCAUUGCAUUUUCUCCUAAAAAUAGUUGCAUUAGUGUCUGAUCAUGAUGGCAUAACUUUACAGAAGUAAUUUUAUGGUUGAUGAUGCUUCACCUCCCCUAACAUUGGACCUUAUCCCUCCUGUUAACUUCUCACUGAGUUCAAAUAUUUUUUCAUGUCUUCUUGUGGGCUACUCUAUCAUGAUACUUAAGUGAUUGCAAAGAGGAUACAUAGUUGGAUAAGUAGGAACUAGUAACCAGUUACAUAUAAAUGCCUAGCAACUUUACAUAACAUAGCUUGUGUUUCGACUAAUGUUUGGGCGACACCCGAAGAAACAUCAAACUUAGGUAUGAUUGUAGAUUAGUCAUUAAUGACUUUUCUGUUGAUGCUCCGAAAGAUAACUUUGAUCAAUGUGAUUGGUUAUUUGCAGCUCUAGGGCAUUUCUUCAAAUUUCCUCAUAUAUCUUCAUUUUCUAAUAGUUACCGAGCUGUGGCUUAUAUUGAAGCUUCUGCAAUGAUUUACCAAGAUGGAAAGAUUCUUAUAGAGGCUGACCAAUUUACAAGGUGAGAUAAAUCCGUAUCUUCAUAUUAAAGGAACCAACAAGGAAAUAGUUUCCUCUGCUGCAUCUGCUCGCUUAGACGGUUCAUACAGGACAAAGGUCUUCUAGAAAAUCCUAGCUAGUAAAAAACUAAAAAUUGAAUAUGCACACAUGUUUUGUGUGUACUUAUUUUCAUGAUUUUAUUCUGCUCUGGAAAGCUAUCUUCAAAUUAUUCUGGAGAGUUUGCCAGCGGAUGAAAAUGUUCGUACUGUUAUUCAUAACCAACAAGCUGCUAGGCUACAAGAACUUGUCGAGUUUAUCUAGUCACAAGUAUGUUAACUUCAAACAAGUUGUAAAUCAUUUAUGCAUCAUACUACUGUUGCAUUAUGGGAUCUUUUUAUAAGUAUUUGAUUUUACAACUGUUCACAC